Arachis ipaensis is the source of this 367-nucleotide non-coding RNA. Lineage: Eukaryota; Viridiplantae; Streptophyta; Magnoliopsida; Fabales; Fabaceae. The record is from RefSeq and is a predicted model, not a curated record.
CGAUGGCGAGCGCGAGUUCUUGUUUUUCCGGAAAUCUUUUAGAGGAGAAAUUCUACAACUCUAUCACGGCCACUGUGUAUGCCUCAAACAAAUCAUCAAGUUGCUUCUUGACCAAUGCCAACACUACCACCGAUGCAACUGUCUCAUUUAGAGGAAGAACCUAUGCAGUUCCAGCAUGAUCUGUUUAGCUUGGCUUGGCUUGGCAUGGCAAAUAUACACGCCAAGAGAUUUUUUAUUCCAUAAGAUUUGACUACAUACUCUUUUAAUUAAAUAUUUGUUUGUUAUGAAUUAUAGUUGAUGUAUCAACACACUUUGAUGUAUAGUUGUUACUUAAUAUUAUAGUUAAUGUAUUAAUACACUUUGUUUA